Manis pentadactyla (Chinese pangolin) is the source of this 863-nucleotide RNA transcript. It is a transcript of the gene named SIVA1 apoptosis inducing factor, with no coding region annotated. The transcript is spliced from 5 exons. The record is from RefSeq and is a predicted model, not a curated record. Lineage: Eukaryota; Metazoa; Chordata; Mammalia; Pholidota; Manidae.
CACGGCUUGCCAGGCGCGCCAAGCUGCGCCGUACAGGUCCCGCGGCCAUGCCCAAGCGGGGCUGCCCCUUCGCGGACGCGGCCCCGCUGCAGUUGAAGGUUCGCGUGGGACGGAGGGAACUGAGCCGCGGCGUGUGCGCCGAGCGCUACACGAGGGAGAUCUUCGAGAAGACCAAGCAGCUCCUAUUUCAAGGAGCUCAGGCCUACAUGGACCACUUGUGGGAGGAAGGCUGUGCCAUUGUCGACCUGCCAGAGUCCCCGAAGCCCGGUCCCACAGAGGCCACUCGGGCCGCACGUGGUCAGAUGCUGAUCGGACCAGACGGCCGGCUUAUCAGGAGCGAAGCCCAGGCCUCAGAAGCUGACCCAUCUGGGGCGGCAUCCAGAGCCUGCUCCUCGUGCGUGCGAGCCGUGGACGGGAAGGCGGUGUGCGGCCAGUGUGAGCGCGCCCUGUGUGGGCGGUGUGUGCGCAUCUGCUGCGGCUGUGGGGCUGUGACCUGCACCCCGUGUGCCCUCGUGGAACUAGCCACCCCUCCUUGGCUUCUGUACCGAGUUGCCAGUUUCCUGUCCUGUGAGGACCCCUCCUCGUGAAUUUUCCCUGCAAGUCACUGAACUUCCUUGGCUUUACCCGUCUGGUGGGCUUCUGACGGGAGCCGCUGUGGUCUGCUGUGGUGACGUCCACGAGAAGGUGCUCUGCGCCAGCUGCGCCAUGUUCGAGGCCUGAGGCCGUGAGUGGAUGGCAGCCUUGCCCAGACGGUGGCCCGGCGUGGGCACUGAGGAGCCGGGGAACAGCGUCGGGUGGGGGGGGUUCUGUUUUAUAUUUUGUACUCCUGAUGCCAGAGGUAAAUAAAGCUCUUUAUAUUUGGA